GCUUUUAAAGGAAAAUAGUUAUUCCCCUGGUCUUAGGCUCCAGUACCUCUCAGUGCAACUCUGAGUAAAAGCU
RNAcentral lists this transfer RNA (73 nucleotides) under Heleophryne regis (royal ghost frog). RNAcentral describes it as "tRNA-Leu". Lineage: Eukaryota; Metazoa; Chordata; Amphibia; Anura; Heleophrynidae. The record is from RNAcentral.